CUUCUCUUCAACGCAUUAUGUCAAUUCUUGAUGAAAUGCAGAGAAGUGUUUGGAUCACGCGUUCAGUCUGGUCGCGAGAUAGCUAUAUAUCAUAGCACGCUUGUCGGUUUGCACCAUGGCAAAUUGUCAUCAUUAGAAGGCCUGAUGUGUGUGAGAUUACCCGCUGAAUUUAAGCACAUAAGUAAGCGGAGGAAAAGAAACUAACUAGGAUUCCCUUAGUAAUGGCGAAUGAACAGGGAUCAGCUCAGUGCCAAAUCAGAAUCACUUGUGGUUCUGAAAUGUGGCUUGAAGGCAGUACCAGUGGCAACGCGGACGAAAGUCUCUUGGAAAAGAGCGUCAUAGAGGGUGAGAAUCCCGUGAGUCGUUUGCAGUUUGCCACGUACGGUCUGUGUUCUAACGAGUCGCGUUCCUUGGGAUUGGAGCGUAAACGGGUGGUAAAUUUCAUCCAAAGCAAAAUAUAUACUCGAGACCGAUAGCACAAAAGUACCGUGAGGGAAAGGUGAAAAGAACUUUGAGAAGAGGGUUAAAUAGUGCCUGAAAUCGUUGAGAAGGAAGCGGAUGCCGCCGUUGCAUAUGCUGAUUGUAGGAUUGCUGCCUGCUUGUGUCUUCUGCUACUCAUUCACAGACCUGGUCGUGUUGAGCAGUUGUUUGGCACUUGUGAGUGGUGUUUCCUGCUUUCAGUCGUCAGCAUCACUGGCUGAGUGGAAAUAAUCCUUGGAUGCUAAUUGGUUUGCUAUCGCAAAUUGGUUGCUUCCUUGCGAUACUCGCUACUCGGUCAGUGAGGAAGUGCGUUUGCUGGUCAACGAGCUGUCUAACUGUCAUUACCCUGCGCUUUUCGAUUCGUCGAGUGGCCAGGAUGUGGCUUUGAGAUUGCCCGCACUUAGUAAUCGCGAUGCUGGCUUCCAACGGUUGCCUCCGGCCCGUCUUGAAACACGGACCAAGGAGUCUAACGUAUGUGCGAGUGUGUGAGUGGCAAACUUAUACGCGUAAUGAAAGUGAGGCCUUAUGGCCUUGUUGGGGUCACCAACAACCGACCUUGAUCUUCGGUGAAAGGUUUGAGUAUGAGCAUAUCCGUUAGGACCCGAAAGAUGGUGAACUAUGCCUGAGCAGGGUGAAGCCAGGGGAAACUCUGGUGGAGGCUCGUAGCGAUA
This 1151-nucleotide ribosomal RNA is filed under the name Perkinsus marinus. RNAcentral describes it as "LSU rRNA". The stretch from base 137 to 1151 matches the Rfam family "Eukaryotic large subunit ribosomal RNA", at positions 1 to 885 of the family's 3401-position model. Lineage: Eukaryota; Perkinsozoa; Perkinsida; Perkinsidae. The record is from RNAcentral.